This 254-nucleotide ribosomal RNA is filed under the name uncultured bacterium. Its description in RNAcentral is "partial 16S ribosomal RNA". It matches the Rfam family "Bacterial small subunit ribosomal RNA", at positions 524 to 776 of the family's 1533-position model. The record is from RNAcentral.
UGCGAAGGGGGCUAGCGUUGCUCGGAAUCACUGGGCGUAAAGGGUGCGUAGGCGGGUCUUUUAAGUCAGGGGUGAAAUCCUGGAGCUCAACUCCAGAACUGCCUUUGAUACUGAAGAUCUUGAGUUCGGGAGAGGUGAGUGGAACUGCGAGUGUAGAGGUGAAAUUCGUAGAUAUUCGCAAGAACACCAGUGGCGAAGGCGGCUCACUGGCCCGAUACUGACGCUGAGGCACGAAAGCGUGGGGAGCAAACAGG